This is a long non-coding RNA of Symphalangus syndactylus (siamang), 746 nucleotides long. RefSeq lists it as uncharacterized. Lineage: Eukaryota; Metazoa; Chordata; Mammalia; Primates; Hylobatidae. The record is from RefSeq and is a predicted model, not a curated record.
AGGAGCGCCUCUGCCCGGCCGCCCCGUCCGGGAAGAAGUGAGGAGCGCCUCUGCCCGGCUGCCCCGUCCGGGAAGAAGUGAGGAGCGCCUCUGCCCGGCCACCCAUCGUCUGGAAAGUGAGGAGCGCCUCUGCCCGACCACCCAUCGUCUGGGAAGUGAGGAGCGCCUCUGCCCGGCCACCUAUCGUCUGGGAAGAAGUGAGGAGCGUCUCUGCCUGGCCGCCCCGUCUGGGAAGUGAGGAGCCCCUCUGCCCGGCCGCCCCGUGUCUGGGUAGAAGUGAGGAGCUCCUCUGCCUGGCCGCUCCGUCUGGGAGGUCUACCACGGAGGCCAGAAGCAAUGUGGGGGCUGGACGUGGUGGCUCACGCCUGUGGUCCCGGCACUCUGGGGGGCGAGGCGGGUUGAUCACUUCGGGCUAGGAGUUCGAGAUCAGUCUGGCCAACUUGGCGAAACAUGAAGAAUACAACAGACAAACCAACCAACCAACUCAAUGACAACAAAACAGGUCUACCCUGGAGUCAUACUCUAAUUUUUUUCUAUUUUCCUCCCUUUCUGAUCCUUUAUCCCACUUUCUUUUUCUUCCUCUUCCUUCUCCCUCUUCUUCGUCAAAUAGAGGAUUGAGUUAUUAUCACUGAUCCAUAUAAAGUCCCUCUCUCAUUUAUUUUAACUCCCACCCCCAUUUCUAUUCCCCGACUUCCCAUGUGCAACCUUCCUAAUAUGUUUGAUACGCAUCUUUUUGUUUGUAUGUA